CGCACCGCCGCGCAGCCACCGUCCGAUUCGCCCCCCUAACCGACCGAGCUGGGAAGUCUGAGCACCGACAGACAAUACAAAAAAGACGCACAGGGAGAAGAAUAAUGAUGAAAAUGGAGGAUUUCAAAUUCCCAUGCAGGAUCACACCCCCUCGCCUCCCAGACCUGAAGAAGGCAGCGGGCCUCAUGUCAAAAAGAUUCCCAGGAAUACCACCAAGGAAAAUGGCCACCAGUAUCUACAGCGCUGGUCACAAGACCAUUACAGGGAAGGCCAGUUAAAAUCCUUCAACAGCAACGAUCCGAGACCAAAAUAUACAUCAAUACAACCAAGAAAGGAUUUUCAUUCAUUAAUGUUUAUUAGAUCACAUUACACAUCUCGAGUACUACUCUACAGGCUUUGUAGGGAGCUUUUUAGAGCCUGGAUGACCCUGAUGAUGUUAUUGUGAUGUCCUCGAGGUCAUUUCGGCUAUUUUAUUGUACAGAAAACUGACAUAUAAAAAUAGUAGUGACAUUUCUAAAAUGUUUUUUAUUUAGGAAGCAGUGAAAACAAUGAAUGUACACUACUGUUCAAAAGUUUGGGGUCACUUAGAAAUGUCUUUAUUUUUCAAAGAAAAGCACUGUUUUUUCAAUAAAGAUAACAUUAAUCAAAAAUACACACUAUACAUUGUUAAUGUGGUAAAUGACUAUUCUAGGUGGAAGUGUCUGGUUUCGAAUGAAAUAUCUCCAUAGGUGUAUAGAGGCCCAUUUCCAUCAACUAUCACUCCAGUGUUCUAAUGGUACAUUGUGUUUGCUAAUCGCCUUAGAAGACUAAUAUCUGAUUAGAAAACCCUUGUGCAAUUAUGCUAGCACAGCUGAAAACAGUUAUGCUGGUGAUAUAAGCUAUAACUGGCCUUCCUUUGAGCUUGAAGUUUGAAGAACAAAAUUAAUACUUCAAAUAUUAAUCAUUAUUUCUAACCUUGUCAAUGUCUUGACUAUAUGUUCUAUGAAAUGUUCAAUUCAUUUGAUAAAUAAAAGUGUGAGUUUUCAUGGAAGACACGAAAUUGUCUGGGUGACCCCAAACUUUUGAACGGUAGUGUACGUCUAUAUUUUAUGAUUUACUUCUGUUGCCUCGAUUUGAACAAUUUCUUUUUUUUAACACGUCUCUUCAUUCCCUUCAUUUAAUGAAAGUGUAAUGGUGGCGUAUCCCUUUAAAUGCCUUUAUUUUUCUUCUGCAACUUCAAAGUCGAAUAAACUGUGUUUACCUCC
This is a long non-coding RNA of Pseudoliparis swirei, 1244 nucleotides long. RefSeq lists it as uncharacterized. The transcript has 3 exons. Lineage: Eukaryota; Metazoa; Chordata; Actinopteri; Perciformes; Liparidae. The record is from RefSeq and is a predicted model, not a curated record.